RNAcentral lists this ribosomal RNA (274 nucleotides) under uncultured bacterium. Its description in RNAcentral is "partial 16S ribosomal RNA". It matches the Rfam family "Bacterial small subunit ribosomal RNA", at positions 523 to 796 of the family's 1533-position model. The record is from RNAcentral.
AUACGGAGGGUGCAAGCGUUGUCCGGAUUUAUUGGGUUUAAAGGGUGCGCAGGCGGUGCGUUAAGUCAGUGGUGAAAUCUUCCGGCUCAACCGGGAAACUGCCAUUGAUACUGGCGCACUUGAGUACGGACGAGGUAGGCGGAAUUUAUGGUGUAGCGGUGAAAUGCAUAGGUACCAUAAAGAACACCGAUAGCGAAGGCAGCUUACCAGACCGUAACUGACGCUCAGGCACGAAAGCGUGGGGAGCAAACAGGAUUAGAUACCCUAGUAGUCC